AUGGCGUUUUUGGUUCGUAAUGCCUUGCGACCAUUCGUACGUCAUUAUUGUGCGUCUUUACACGAGAAACAUCGGUUUUGUCCACAUACGAGUGUGAGCUGAUGUUAAGUUAACGUGAGACAUGGCACCUUUAAAACAAAACGCAAAAAGUAAAGGUCUGAUUAGAGGAAAAUACUUUAAUAACAAAUUUGUACAUGGUGGUUUAUCACACAACGCCAAAAGGAAAAGAAAAUGGGUUCCGGAGAACGAAAGUUUUUGAUGGUGGAUUAAAAGAGGCUCCCACAAGAAGCAGAAAAUGUCAUCGUAUCAGAAGACAAAGCAAGAAUAUGAAAGGAUAAAGGAGGAACGAGCACGAAAAAGAGAGCUCUCUAACCUGAGAGAAGCUCAUCAGCAUUUUCAUACCCAGAAUGCAGUUCUUCAGAGAUGAGACUCCCUGUUAAAGGAGACCAGA
Molecule: long non-coding RNA, 451 nt
Organism: Cyprinus carpio (common carp)
Lineage: Eukaryota; Metazoa; Chordata; Actinopteri; Cypriniformes; Cyprinidae
Exons: 3
Source: RefSeq, a predicted model, not a curated record